This 250-nucleotide ribosomal RNA is filed under the name uncultured bacterium. RNAcentral describes it as "partial 16S ribosomal RNA". It matches the Rfam family "Archaeal small subunit ribosomal RNA", at positions 339 to 588 of the family's 1478-position model. The record is from RNAcentral.
GCGCGAAAACUCUCCAAUGUGCGAAAGCGUGAGAGGGGAAUUCCUAGUGCUAUGGGUUUAUCCCAUGGCUUUUGCCAAGUGUAAAUAGCUUGGCGAAUAAGUGGUGGGCAAGACUGGUGCCAGCCGCCGCGGUAACACCAGCGCCACGAGUGGCUAUCACGAUUAUUGGGCCUAAAGCGUCCGUAGUCGGUUCUGUACAUCUUCUGUGAAAUCGUUGCGCUUAACGUAACGGCACGCGGAAGACACGGCA